This 460-nucleotide ribosomal RNA is filed under the name uncultured bacterium. Its description in RNAcentral is "partial 16S ribosomal RNA". It matches the Rfam family "Bacterial small subunit ribosomal RNA", at positions 338 to 795 of the family's 1533-position model. The record is from RNAcentral.
ACUACGGGCGGCAGCAGUGAGGAAUAUUGGUCAAUGGCCGGAAGGCUGAACCAGCCAAGUCGCGUGAAGGAAGAAGGAUCUAUGGUUUGUAAACUUCUUUUAUAGGGGAAUAAAGGUAUCCACGUGUGGAUAUUUGCAUGUACCCUAUGAAUAAGCAUCGGCUAACUCCGUGCCAGCCGCCGCGGUAAUAAGGGGGAUGCGCACGUUAUCCGGCUUUAUUGGGUUUAACGGUUGCGUAGGUUGUUUUUUAAGUCAGCGGUGAAAGUUUUUGGCUCAACCAUAAAAUUGCCGUUGAAACUGGAAGACUUGAGUGUGUUUGAGGUAGGCGGAAUGCGUGGUGUAGCGGUGAAAUGCAUAGAUAUCACGCAGAACUCCGAUUGCGAAGGCAGCUUACUAAGCCAUAACUGACACUGAAGCACGAAAGCGUGGGGAUCAAACAGGAUUAGAUACCCGAGUAGUC